RNAcentral lists this ribosomal RNA (295 nucleotides) under uncultured bacterium. RNAcentral describes it as "partial 16S ribosomal RNA". It matches the Rfam family "Bacterial small subunit ribosomal RNA", at positions 789 to 1084 of the family's 1533-position model. The record is from RNAcentral.
GGUAGUCCACGCCCUAAACGAUGACGACUAGUUGUUGGAGGAGUUAAAUCCUUUAGUAACGCAGCUAACGCGCGAAGUCGUCCGCCUGGGGAGUACGGUCGCAAGAUUAAAACUCAAAGGAAUUGACGGGGGCCCGCACAAGCGGUGGAUGAUGUGGUUUAAUUCGACGCAACACGCAGAACCUUACCCAGGCUUGACAUGCACCUGCAAACGGUAGAAACGCCGUUGCCUUCGAGGGUGGUGCACCGGUGCUGCAUGGCUGUCGUCAGCUCGUGUCGUGAGGUGUUGGGUUAAG